GUCCUCGUAGCUCAGUAGGAUAGAGCGAUUGCCUCCUAAGCAAUAGGUCGUUGGUUCGAUUCCAAUCGGGGACACCA
This 77-nucleotide transfer RNA is filed under the name Clostridium sp. Its description in RNAcentral is "tRNA-Arg". It matches the Rfam family "tRNA". From Rfam's summary of the family: Transfer RNA (tRNA) molecules are approximately 80 nucleotides in length. Their secondary structure includes four short double-helical elements and three loops (D, anti-codon, and T loops). Lineage: Bacteria; Bacillati; Bacillota; Clostridia; Eubacteriales; Clostridiaceae. The record is from RNAcentral. RNAcentral also lists the same sequence under 1 other name.